Molecule: ribosomal RNA, 794 nt
Filed under: uncultured euryarchaeote
Lineage: Archaea; Methanobacteriati; Methanobacteriota
Description: bacterial SSU rRNA
Rfam family: Archaeal small subunit ribosomal RNA
Source: RNAcentral
UUACGGCUCAGUAACACGUAGCUAACCUACCCUUAAGUCGAGGAUACUCUCGGGAAACUGAGGUUAAUACUCGAUAGGAGAUGUACCCUGGAAUGAUUCAUCUCUCAAAUUCGAGCUUAAGGAUGGGGCUGCGGCGGAUUAGGUUGUUGGCGGGGUAAAAGCCCACCAAGCCGAUGAUCCGUAAGGGCUCUUAGCGGAGAGGCCCUGAGAGGGAAUCUGAGACACUAUUCCCAGCCCUACGGGGUGCAGCAGUUAGGAAUCUUCUGCAAUGCGCGCAAGCGUGACAGAUUGAGUCAGAGUGCUUUUCAUAUGAAAAGCUUUUGCCAAAUGUAAAAAGUUUGGCGAAUAAGGACUGGGUAAGACGGGUGCCAGCCGCCGCGGUAAUACCCGCGGUCCAAGUCGCAGCCAUCAUUAUUGGGUCUAAAACAUCCGUAGCUUGCUUGAUAAGUUUCUUGUGAAAUUCCAUGUCUCAAAUAUGGAGCGGGCAAGAAGUACUGUUAAGCUAGAGACUGGAAGACGUAAGAAGUACGUUUGGAGUAGCGGUAAAAUGUGUUAAUCCCAGACGGACUAACAACAGCGAAGGCAUCUUACGAGGACAGUUCUGACAGUAAGGGAUGAAGGCUAGGGGCGCGAAAGGGAUUAGAUACCCCUGUAGUCCUAGCAGUAAACACUGCACACUANACAUUAGUACCUCCUCGAGAGGUGUUAGUGCUGAAGAGAAGUCGAAGAGUGUGCUACCUGGGAAGUAUAGUCGCAAGGCUGAAACUUAAAGGAAUUGGCGGGGGAGCACAAUC